This 293-nucleotide ribosomal RNA is filed under the name Lactococcus lactis. RNAcentral describes it as "partial 16S ribosomal RNA". It matches the Rfam family "Bacterial small subunit ribosomal RNA", at positions 479 to 772 of the family's 1533-position model. The record is from RNAcentral. Lineage: Bacteria; Bacillati; Bacillota; Bacilli; Lactobacillales; Streptococcaceae.
CUACCCAGAAAGGGACGGCUAACUACGUGCCAGCAGCCGCGGUAAUACGUAGGUCCCGAGCGUUGUCCGGAUUUAUUGGGCGUAAAGCGAGCGCAGGUGGUUUAUUAAGUCUGGUGUAAAAGGCAGUGGCUCAACCAUUGUAUGCAUUGGAAACUGGUAGACUUGAGUGCAGGAGAGGAGAGUGGAAUUCCAUGUGUAGCGGUGAAAUGCGUAGAUAUAUGGAGGAACACCGGUGGCGAAAGCGGCUCUCUGGCCUGUAACUGACACUGAGGCUCGAAAGCGUGGGGAGCAAA